ACAAGGUUUAACCAGAAAUAAUUUCUCCGAGCAUAAACUGAGGUUAGCGGGCCUAUCAGCUCUUCCUCCUCGCUCCGCCACCGCUGCUGACCCGAGGAGCAGCCUGGAAAGCAGCCGCCCUCCCGCAAACAGCAGAAUGACGCAUCAUCCAUCAAAAAUGUGAGUGUGAGGAUGGUGGGACCAUUCUGGCACGCUUGAGCAGCAGGGCCCUCUGAGCCCUCAGAUGUCAUCCAGCCAGGUGUGUGGGGGCCACUUGCCAUGCACAGCUUCUCUCAGCAGAGGUUGGUGAACCGUACUCCAACAGAAAGGGGAAAUAAGACUGUAAGUAGUUUUAAAAAGUUGAACUAAGAGAAAAGCUUUAUUGUGAAACUAUGAGGAUUAUUUCUGUGCACUGGCUGCCCCGUCAUAUGUCAUGGCAUGUGGCGGGUUGACUGCUCAUUAAUUCUAUUUAUAUCAGUAUGAUAAUCCACCCCACUGAGUAUGCAUGUGUUAAAAUAUUCAUAAAUUAUGUUUAUUGUGACCAAAUAUACAUUAAAUGCCAAAAGAAGACCAUUAUUUAAAGACAAAACUAGUCAACAAUCAAACAAGCAAAGCCUUUUUACUGUCAGUCCAGUACAUUAUGUUUUAUCAAAUUCACAUGAAUUACCUCUCCUUCCAGUGCCCCAUAAGGAAUGUUUAUCCUUUGUUUUUAAACUAUGCAAAGAAAUAGACUUCACUGAAAGGAAUAGAUUUGGAAAACAAAAGCUGUUACAUGAUCUCAGACUAAUAAUAACAUGGGCUGGAAGAAACCAUCUAGGGAAAUGCACUUCUGGCUUCCAAAAUUAUUUGAUCCCUAAUAUACCCUUGACCUGAAUUUGAUGGUAUUUCAUAAAAUCAUAGACUAAGUUAAAUAAAGCAACUAACUUUUUUUGAUAAACUAGGCUGCCAAUAGAAUUUUAAGUUUGUACAUUUUUUUUGAAAACAAAACAAAACAAAAAAUAGGAUGGUUAAGAAAAUCUACAAGGUUGAGAAUUGAGACCAGUAAUUAAACUAUACUGUGGCAGACUGUUUUGGAACUUAUUACUUCCAAAUGAAGCAAUCCUUAACUACUCUGUUUUGAAUGAUUCCAGGAAGUUGAAAAAAUUGAGGUGAUUAUUCUUUUUACAGGCUGCUUAUGCAGCAACACAGCACAGUUGAAAAGUUUGAAUUCCUUGUCAAAAUCCAAAGUGGUUUUAGUUAGAAUAUAUUGCCUAACUUACCCAAUUUAUCAUAUUCUGAAUUGAAGCCAUGAAAACAUUUAAGAUUAUUAAUUAUGAGGACCAUACUUCAGAUUUAACCAAAAUAAUGAUCAUUUUAAAAAGUGACCUUAGUGCUGACUUAAUAGUCUAUUUGUAAUAUCCUCUAGGAAACUGUUAAAAAUUUCAAAACUUAAAUUAUACUUGAAAGGACUUUUUUCUAAAUCAAAACAAUAAGUGAUGAGUAAAACAAAAUAGAAAUUUCUGAAUUUAUUUCAUUGUCACCAUAUGCUUAUUUUAAAGAAGAACACAACAUUUAGAGAACAAAACAGUAAAAAUUAAAUAUUUUUCUCAUGUUGCCAAUACUAUGGGAGUGAAGUCGCCACUCAGAUUUCAUGUUAAUUUCAAGUAAGAUUUUUGGUUUUCUAUAUAAUGACACCAUUAUAGAAUGUUUUACUUUCUACUUUUCCUUGGAAGAAAAAUGUCUUUACUUCCAUACAAUCUUUUAAGAAACCUAAACAGUAUGGCAACCUAAACUGGUAUAGGAAAUCUCUGCAAGGAAAUAAUUCAAAAUGUGGAAAAAGCCAUAUGUAAAAAUUUUCUUUAAAACAUUAUUUAUAAUAGCAAACAUUGGAAGGCAUUUUAAUAUCUAGCAAUGGAAGCUUGGUUAGGCAAAGAUGACAAUAUUCAUUUGAUGAAAUAUUAUGCAGUCAAUAAAAUUGGUAUGCGGCAGUAUUAGAAAUAUGGGAAAAAAUACUAAGUUAAAAAAAGGAUACAAGAUGAAGGUGUAGCAUGAUUAUAAUAAUUUUAACACAUGCAAAUAAUAAAACACUAAAAGAGGAUGCACAAAAAUGUUAAUCAUCAAAUUAAAGAUUGAAAUGGAUUUUUUACUCUCUUUUCAAGCUUUUAUUAUGUUGUCUUAUGUAAUUUAAAGUGCAUUUUAACAUUUCAAAAUUAUCAUCAGUAAUCAAUUUAUAUUUUUUCUUUAGAUGUCAUAAAUAAUCACCAUAGAUUUUUGAGGAGAAAAAUUAGGCAACUCCCAUUUUCAAAGAUGUUAAUUUUAAAACGAGUAUCCCAAUGUGUGGUUUUAGUUGUCAAACCCAAUUUGAUUUCUAUGGAAUCAUAGUGUGCACAUAUUUUAUUAAAUAAUAAUUCCCUCUUUUAUUAAAAAAAAACCUGCUUAUUAUUUUUAACUCUAAACGACAGCUUUUUCGCCUCUCAGUUCUCAAAAACCCUGAGCAGCCAUUUCAGAAAACAAAACAAAAGAAAACCCCACAUAUCAAAACACCACAAAACCCUCUCAUUAAGCUCUCUGCAAAGUUUGAGAUGUACUUUCAUGUGAAUCUUGGCCUCUGUACAGCACUGCUGCACAAUCAUUUUCAUCUGAGAUUUGAACAUAUUGGAAGAACUAGAGCCUUCCUUUCUUUUAUCCUGUCAUUUCCCCCCCCUGGAAGUGACAGGCAUAUGGCAGGCACCCUCCCUAGAUUCUCAAACAACAGGAGGGACCUGAUUUCAAUUCCUACAUCCUGUCAUCAGUGACUCUCGGGAUAUUUUGUUCUUGCAAGGCUAAGGAUGUGAUUCGAAUUUGCCAUACGGACAGAGCUUAAUGCGAUGCCAUUUUUACCACUGGCGCCCUCAAUCAGUUAAUUAAACAUGAUAUAAAUCACCACAUGUAUUUGUAAAGUAAGAUUAAUAUGGCAAAGUCAAAGUAAAUGAGGAAUCCUCCUUAUCCUAGGAGUGUGAAUCAUUGAUAGGAAGAUUACACUUUUGGAAACUCAAUACUUUUGAGCAGGCUUUGUUGGUUUAAUCCCUCAGACUGCUUUGUGCAACUUGAAACCUGGAGCUGUCAUCUUUAGCCAAAAUUUCAGCCAUAACUUCCUCAGCUUUCACCCCAUUAUUGAAAUCAGCAUUCACAAUACUUAACAAAGAUCAAACCUUUCAGCGGACCACAGUGCAGCCUCUUACCACCUGGGACACCAGAAACAUGUUUAAUAAAUAUUUCAUUUGGUUUUAACAUGAAGACUUUCCCUGGUUUCAAUUUUUUUUUUCUUUCCUGGGGAGCUAAGGGCUACCACCAAGCUGCACAUUCCGUCGCUGUGGUCAGUUAGGUUUAUAGCCUUAAUAAAAGGAUUUGCCCCCCUUCACAUGCUAGGGAGCCUUGUUAAACCACAGCAAUUAUAGAAACACAAGAUAGGUGCCCUGCAAAGAUCAAAGCUCACCUAAAGACAGCUCUGUAGGAAUUUGGAGCUCUCUUUGAAAAGCGCUCAGUUUACAAAGUGUAGAGGUAUUAAACCCUAGGAAUUAAAAAAAAGCUUAUUUUAGAAUAAUGUUAAAAGUCUGACAGUAGUUAAUAUGGGAUCUCCUUCAGCCACUCUUUGUGUAUUAUUUCUAAUAUCUAUUCACGGCAUACCUAUAAUAGCUCCAAAGGAACCAUUAUGCUCAGAAGACAUACGAAUAUGAUGGAUCCUUAAUACCAAAUGCAUUACCUACUCAGUAGGUACAUUUUAACCUCAAUAUCCCAGCUCAGGGACAGGGUGGGAAAAUAGCAUGUAAAUUUCUUUAGGAGGAAAAAAAGGCAGCAUGCCUGGGUCUUCAGCUUUGUGGCUCAGUGAAAUCCCUAGAGGCUUUGCUUUCCAUGCAGGAGGGAUAGGCGAUGGCCUGUGCUGGGCUGGACCAGGUGACUUUAGCAUCUGGCCUUUGGGCUGUGGCACAACUCACCCAACUCUAAUUGGAUGUUGAAGUACCCAGUCUUAGGCGUUGUAAUGUUUGCUCUACCUCUGUAGAUUGUAUCAUUCAUCCAGAAACACACAUACACACACACACACACAGAGUAAUGCAUGUAGACUCCAUUUCAGAAAAAGAAUGCUAAAACCUGAGUGGCCUAAACUUAAUUGUGUGGCUAUGGGAGCUUUUGGGUGACAAAGGAUCUGCAAGACAAACAAUUACUUUUGUGUGUAGCAUCUUACAACAGGGCAGUAUAAAUGGGCUCGGCCUGGGAUUUUGAAUUCUGUGCUUCAGCCUUGGAAAAUGAGUUAUUUAAAAGCAGCUAUUGCCAGGAACAUUUUAAUAUCUAUUUAGAGAAAACUAUUUGAGAUUUUGAGUGUCCAGGAGUCUUUAGCUUUGAAACAUGCAGAGAUAAAUGCAAACCCCUCAUUUUACGUCAGCAUAUCCAUUUUAAAUAAAAGGCUGUAAUGAUGAUAAAAGUAAGAGCUGAUAUUUAUUGACUGCUUGCUAUUUACCAGGCUGUAUGCCCAGUACAUUACAUGGAGUAUUACAUUUAAUCUUCAUGACAACCCUAUGAGGAAGGUUCCUUUAUCAUAUUUAUUUUACAGACGAGGAGACUGUGGCUCAGAGGGGCAAAGAUCACAUCACUAGCAAGAGGUGGGGUUGUGAUUUUAAUCUGUGUUACAUGACUCUAGAAGCCACGCUUUUACAGCCUGUUACUAUCUGAUUUGAAGUUUAUUUUGUACUGUGAUCUAAAGUUUCUAUUUUAUGCUUCCUUUUUAUUUAGCUGUAACUUUUAAGAGAAUUCUAAUCCUUGAAAACAAAGUUAACAGAGUCUAUUUUUCCUGAUUAACUUUCUGCUUUUAAUUUUAGUGUUAAAUGGGUAAUGUAACUUCAGGUUUUGUAUUUCUAAUAAUGUAUUUUGGAAAAUGCCAUACCCCAAGAGUUACCUGAAAGAGUUUCACGAUAGCAACUCUUUUUUUUUUUGCCUUGGAACCACCAUUUUAUAAUUAAUCUAAGACAAUGCCAUCAUUGAAAAUAGAAGCAAUCAACUAUCUUGUUUGCCUUCCCUUUGAAUAAAGCUUUUCCUUUGACUAGUUCAAGAUUCUGAUAUGUUAUUUAAUAGUGAAAGAGAUGUUCCAGAUUUAGAAGUAUUAUAGUGCAGCAUGAGUCAGAUAGGCCUGAAUUAGAAUCUUGGAUUCACCAAGUUUUGGUUCUGUGAUCUUGGGCAACUAUUCAAAUUCUCUUAAUCCUAUCAGAUUAUUAUUAGUAAAACGAAAAAAAAAAUAAUGCCAAUCAUA
Non-coding RNA from Chlorocebus sabaeus (green monkey), 5239 nucleotides. The record is from RefSeq and is a predicted model, not a curated record. Lineage: Eukaryota; Metazoa; Chordata; Mammalia; Primates; Cercopithecidae.